UGGGGAAUCUUGGACAAUGGGCGCAAGCCUGAUCCAGCCAUGCCGCGUGAGUGAAGAAGGCCUUCGGGUUGUAAAGCUCUUUUACCAGGGACGAUAAUGACGGUACCUGGAGAAUAAGCCCCGGCAAACUUCGUGCCAGCAGCCGCGGUAAUACGAAGGGGGCUAGCGUUGUUCGGAAUUACUGGGCGUAAAGCGCACGUAGGCGGAUAGUUAAGUCAGGGGUGAAAUCCUGGGGCUCAACCCCAGAACUGCCUUUGAUACUGGCUGUCUCGAGGUCGAGAGAGGUUGGUGGAAUUCCUAGUGUAGAGGUGAAAUUCGUAGAUAUUCGCAGGAACACCAGUGGCGAAGGCGACUUGCUGGACUUAUGGUGACGCUGAGACGCGAAAGCGUGGGGAGCAAACAGGAUUAGAUACCCCCGUAGUCCCUGAGCGGGCUGGCAAGGCGCAU
Molecule: ribosomal RNA, 447 nt
Filed under: uncultured bacterium
Lineage: Bacteria
Description: bacterial SSU rRNA
Rfam family: Bacterial small subunit ribosomal RNA
Source: RNAcentral